This 73-nucleotide transfer RNA is filed under the name Ovis aries (sheep). It matches the Rfam family "tRNA". Rfam says of the family: Transfer RNA (tRNA) molecules are approximately 80 nucleotides in length. Their secondary structure includes four short double-helical elements and three loops (D, anti-codon, and T loops). Lineage: Eukaryota; Metazoa; Chordata; Mammalia; Artiodactyla; Bovidae. The record is from Rfam by way of RNAcentral.
UCCCUGAUGGUCCAGUGGUUAGGACUGCGCCCUCUCGCUGCCAAGGGCCCAGGUUCAAUCCCUGGCUGGGGAA